AAGCUUGUUUGAAUGAAUUGUAAUUCAUAAUUCGAAUGUUAUCGGAUACAGCAUUCCAUAAUUUAACGCCUGUAUAUUUUAUCGAAUUUUGAGUACGUUUGGUUGAAAAAUGAGUUACAUAAUAGGAACUACUGGCAGAGGAUCGUGUUCUAUAAGAAUGCACGCUGCUUUGUUUCAAGAAAUAAUCAGUGAAUGUAACAGGGAGUUUUUUGUUGUGAUGUUGGUGCAUCAAUUUCAAUAUCUCUAAUUUAUAAAUAUCCACCAUUUUAAUAAUACGAAGUUUAUAAUAGAUUGGAUCAAGUUGGGCAUAAGGUCCACUGCCAGAGACAGCACGAAUGGCCCUAUUCUGCAUUAUUUCAAUUUUGCGUAAAAGAGUUUUAUCAGCGGAGCCCCAUGCAGAAAUACCGUAUUGAAUAUGGGCUUGGAAUAACGAGUGGUAAACCAUACGUAAAGUUGAAAUUGGUAUAAAAUGCCUGAGUUUGUACAGUAUUCCCACCGACUUAGAUAACUUAGCAGCCAAGUUAGUUAUAUGAAUAUCCCAUUUCAUUUGACUGUCUAAAUAUAUGCCCAGAUAUUUAUAAGAAUUGACUUUUUCUAAUGUAAUGUUGUCAAUACAGAUUAAUAAAUUAUGAUUGGCUUUAUGUUUAUUUGGUGAAAUAAGCAUAGACUUAGAUUUAUCGAUAUUUAAUGUCAAUUUGUUAGCCUUCAUCCAAUUAACCACUUUUACAAUUUCAGAGUUCACUCGUGACUGUAUAGCUGGUAGAGAUUUGUCACUAUCUAGAAGUAUAGUGUCGUCAGCGAAUAGUUUUGCGAAGAAAGAAGAACAGUGGGUGAGGUCAUUUAUAUAGACGAGGAAUAAUAAUGGACCCAACGUCGAACCCUGUGGGACCCCGUGAGUCACUGAUUUAAAGAGAGGAAUUACACGAGCAACUUUGAGGGAUGAGGGGAAAAUUCCAAGCGAGAGCGAGCAGUUGAACAAUUUAACUAGAAGCGGCGCAAGCGGGUCAGCAACGAAUUUCAGGAAGCGGGGAGGAAUGUUAUCCGGCCCAACUGCCUUUCUCUCCUUCAAGUUUAGAAUUUCCACUAUCAUUUCGGAUUCUGUGACCAAAGUCAUAAAAGCUGAUUUACUAACACGAUUACGAAGAAAUGGCUUAAAUUCACACAUGUCAUUAGAAAACUUGGCUGCCAAGCUAGAUCCAGCAGUUGAGAAGUACUUAUUAAAUUCGGUUGCGAUUAAGCAACCGUCUUUAACUGUACUGCCAUUUUCAAGACAUACUUCAGCUAUCGAAUGCUUGGAAUUAUUUUUUGUGGUUGUGAUUUGAUUAAUGAUUUGCCACGUAGACCUGGGGUUACCCUUGGUCUGGGAAAUAAGAUUUUGGUAGUGAAUUUGCUUCGCUUUGUCUAAUACGGAAGUAAGUGUGUUGCGAUACUUUUUGAAGUAUGAGCGUUGCAAGGGGGUUCCACGUAAAAAAUGGGUU
Styela clava is the source of this 1478-nucleotide non-coding RNA. NCBI's taxonomy places the organism in Eukaryota, Metazoa, Chordata, Ascidiacea, Stolidobranchia, Styelidae. The record is from RefSeq and is a predicted model, not a curated record.